Molecule: ribosomal RNA, 465 nt
Filed under: Vreelandella stevensii
Lineage: Bacteria; Pseudomonadati; Pseudomonadota; Gammaproteobacteria; Oceanospirillales; Halomonadaceae
Description: partial 16S ribosomal RNA
Rfam family: Bacterial small subunit ribosomal RNA
Source: RNAcentral
CCUACGGGUGGCAGCAGUGGGGAAUAUUGGACAAUGGGCGAAAGCCUGAUCCAGCCAUGCCGCGUGUGUGAAGAAGGCCUUCGGGUUGUAAAGCACUUUCAGUGGGGAAGAAAGCCUUGGGGCUAAUACCCUCGAGGAAGGACAUCACCAACAGAAGAAGCACCGGCUAACUCCGUGCCAGCAGCCGCGGUAAUACGGAGGGUGCGAGCGUUAAUCGGAAUUACUGGGCGUAAAGCGCGCGUAGGCGGUCUGAUAAGCCGGUUGUGAAAGCCCCGGGCUCAACCUGGGAACGGCAUCCGGAACUGUCAGGCUAGAGUGCAGGAGAGGAAGGUAGAAUUCCCGGUGUAGCAGUGAAAUGCGUAGAGAUCGGGAGGAAUACCAGUGGCGAAGGCGGCCUUCUGGACUGACACUGACGCUGAGGUGCGAAAGCGUGGGUAGCGAACAGGAUUAGAUACCCGUGUAGUC